GAGGUGUUUGGAUGUGGGGGUUUGCUGGCCUCUUAAAAAGGUUCAGCUCCUCUGAAAUGCAUUAGCAGAACAACCCGUUCAUUGGCGUGAUAACUAUCUACGCUAUUGAAUGUGAUGGGGCAGUUCAGCUUUCUAACAGUCUUUGGACAAUUCAUCAUUAAUGUGACCUCAAAUCAGGUAGGACUACCCGCUGAACUUAA
Molecule: unclassified non-coding RNA, 200 nt
Filed under: Agaricales sp.
Lineage: Eukaryota; Fungi; Basidiomycota; Agaricomycetes; Agaricales
Also listed under: 1 other name
Description: partial contains internal transcribed spacer 2 and large subunit ribosomal RNA
Source: RNAcentral